AGUCGAGCGGAAACGAAGAGGAGCUUGCUCCUUUGGCGUCGAGCGGCGGACGGGUGAGUAAUGCUUGGGAAUGUGCCUUAUGGUGGGGGACAACAGUCGGAAACGACUGCUAAUACCGCAUAAUGUCUUCGGACCAAAGUGGGGGACCUUCGGGCCUCACGCCAUAAGAUCAGCCCAAGUGGGAUUAGCUAGUUGGUAAGGUAAUGGCUUACCAAGGCGACGAUCCCUAGCUGGUUUGAGAGGAUGAUCAGCCACACUGGGACUGAGACACGGCCCAGACUCCUACGGGAGGCAGCAGUGGGGAAUAUUGCACAAUGGGCGCAAGCCUGAUGCAGCCAUGCCGCGUGUGUGAAGAAGGCCUUCGGGUUGUAAAGCACUUUCAGUAAGGAGGAAAGGUUAAGUGUUAAUAAUACUUAGCUGUGACGUUACUUACAGAAGAAGCACCGGCUAACUCCGUGCCAGCAGCCGCGGUAAUACGGAGGGUGCGAGCGUUAAUCGGAAUUACUGGGCGUAAAGCGUACGCAGGCGGUUUGUUAAGCGAGAUGUGAAAGCCCCGGGCUCAACCUGGGAACUGCAUUUCGAACUGGCAAACUAGAGUGUGAUAGAGGGUGGUAGAAUUUCAGGUGUAGCGGUGAAAUGCGUAGAGAUCUGAAGGAAUACCGAUGGCGAAGGCAGCCACCUGGGUCAACACUGACGCUCAUGUACGAAAGCGUGGGGAGCAAAC
RNAcentral lists this ribosomal RNA (724 nucleotides) under uncultured Pseudoalteromonas sp. RNAcentral describes it as "bacterial SSU rRNA". It matches the Rfam family "Bacterial small subunit ribosomal RNA", at positions 60 to 773 of the family's 1533-position model. The record is from RNAcentral. Lineage: Bacteria; Pseudomonadati; Pseudomonadota; Gammaproteobacteria; Alteromonadales; Pseudoalteromonadaceae.